UAUUGAAAAUUUCAUCCAUUUUUGCUAUUAAAAAUGGGUAUGACUAACAAAAUAACUAAACUAUUAUACCUGGCAUGCUAUGUGUACUUCAUUUUUUACAUAUAGGAAUCAGUUUUUAAUAGUAAAAAUGGAUGAAAUUUUUAAUA
Gossypium raimondii (Peruvian cotton) is the source of this 146-nucleotide non-coding RNA. NCBI's taxonomy places the organism in Eukaryota, Viridiplantae, Streptophyta, Magnoliopsida, Malvales, Malvaceae. The record is from Rfam.